Molecule: ribosomal RNA, 1434 nt
Filed under: uncultured Brochothrix sp.
Lineage: Bacteria; Bacillati; Bacillota; Bacilli; Caryophanales; Listeriaceae
Description: 16S ribosomal RNA
Rfam family: Bacterial small subunit ribosomal RNA
Source: RNAcentral
GCUGGCUGCGUGCCUAAUACAUGCAUGUUGAACCAACUGACGAGGAGCUUGCUCCUUUGAAGUUAGUGGCGGACGGGUGAGUAACACGUGGGUAACCUGCCUCACAGCUGGGGAUAACAUCGAGAAAUCGAUGCUAAUACCGAAUGUGCUGAACAUCAUAAGAUGUUCAAGUGAAAGACGGUUUCGGCUGUCACUGUGAGAUGGACCCGCGCUGGAUUAGCUAGUUGGUAAGGUAAUGGCUUACCAAGGCGACGAUCCAUAGCCGACCUGAGAGGGUGAUCGGCCACAUUGGGACUGAGACACGGCCCAAACUCCUACGGGGGGCAGCAGUAGGGAAUCUUCGGCAAUGGACGAAAGUCUGACCGAGCAACGCCGCGUGAGCGAAGAAGGCCUUCGGGUCGUAAAGCUCUGUUGUUAGAGAANAACAAGGGUGAGAGUAACUGUUCACCCCUUGACGGUAUCUAACCAGAAAGCCACGGCUAACUACGUGCCAGCAGCCGCGGUAAUACCUUAGUGGCGAGCGUUGUCCCGAAUUAUUGGGCGUAAAGCGCGCGCAGGCGGUCUCUUAAGUCUGAUGUGAAAGACCCCGGCUCAACCCGGGAGGGUCAUUGGAAACUGGGAGACUUGAGGACAGAAGAGGAGAGUGGAAUUCCAAGUGUAGCGGUGAAAUGCGUAGAUAUUUGAAGGAACACCAGUGGCGAAGGCGGCUCUCUUGUCUGUUACUGACGCUGAGGCGCGAAAGCGUGGGAAGCAAACAGGAUAAGAUACCCUGGUAGUCCACGCCGUAAACGAUGAGUGCUAAGUGUAAGGGGGUUCCCGCCCCUUAGUGCUGCAGUAAACGCAUUAAGCACUCCGCCUGGGAGAGUACGACCGCAAGGUUUGAAACUCAAAGGAAUUGACGGGGGCCCGCACAAGCGGUGUGAGCAUGUGGUUUAAAUUCGAAAGCAACGCGAAGAACCUUACCAGGUCUUGACAUCCUUUGACCAUUCUGAAGACAGAACUUUCCCUUCGGGGACAAAGUGACAGGUGGUGCAUGGUUGUCGUCAGCUCGUGUCGUGAGAUGUUGGGUUAAGUCCCGCAACGAGCGCAACCCCUUGAUUUUAGUUUGCCAGCAUUUAGUUGGGGCACUCUAAAGUGACUGCCCGUGUAAGCCCGAAGGAAAGUGGGGAUGACGUCAAAUCAUCAUGCCCCUUAUGACCUGGGCUACACACGUGCUACAAUGGAUAAAUACAAAAGGUCGCGAAGCCGCGAGGUGGAGCCACAUCCCAUAAAAAUUAUUCUCAGUUCGGACUGCAGGCUGCAACUCGCCUGCAUGAAGCCCGGAAUCGCUAGUAAUCGUAGAUCAGCAUGCUACCGUGGAAUACGUUCCCGGGCCUUGUACACACCGCCCGUCACACCACGACAGUUUGUGACACCCAAAGCCGGUUCAGUAAC